AUGAACGCUGGCGGCGUGCCUAAUACAUGCAAGUCGAGCGAACAGACGAGGAGCUUGCUCCUCUGACGUUAGCGGCGGACGGGUGAGUAACACGUGGAUAACCUACCUAUAAGACUGGGAUAACUUCGGGAAACCGGAGCUAAUACCGGAUAAUAUAUUGAACCGCAUGGUUCAAUAGUGAAAGACGGUUUUGCUGUCACUUAUAGAUGGAUCCGCGCCGCAUUAGCUAGUUGGUAAGGUAACGGCUUACCAAGGCAACGAUGCGUAGCCGACCUGAGAGGGUGAUCGGCCACACUGGAACUGAGACACGGUCCAGACUCCUACGGGAGGCAGCAGUAGGAAAUCUUCCGCAAUGGGCGAAAGCCUGACGGAGCAACGCCGCGUGAGUGAUGAAGGUCUUCGGAUCGUAAAACUCUGUUAUUAGGGAAGAACAAAUGUGUAAGUAACUAUGCACGUCUUGACGGUACCUAAUCAGAAAGCCACGGCUAACUACGUG
Molecule: ribosomal RNA, 496 nt
Filed under: uncultured bacterium
Lineage: Bacteria
Description: partial 16S ribosomal RNA
Rfam family: Bacterial small subunit ribosomal RNA
Source: RNAcentral